This is a long non-coding RNA of Drosophila nasuta, 1336 nucleotides long. RefSeq lists it as uncharacterized. Lineage: Eukaryota; Metazoa; Arthropoda; Insecta; Diptera; Drosophilidae. The transcript has 2 exons. The record is from RefSeq and is a predicted model, not a curated record.
GUGUGUGUGUGAGUGGUUGAGAGACGUAGCGCUGUGUGUAUGCGUGCAUUUUGUGCGCUUGUGUGCGUCGUCCGCCGCCGCCUGCCUGGUUGAUAGGCCAUAAACGCAAUUUUUGAAUUUCAUGCUCGUCUAUUCGGCGCUAGGUUUCGGUGGUGCGCAGCUCGCAGCAGCAGCAAGCAGCGUUCGUUGUGUGCAUUUCUCGUCUCGUCUAACACUAAAAAAAAAAACAAAAAAAAAACAUUUCCCCACAACGGCAACACGGCCACGGCAAAUAACACAGCAACACUUUAGCAAGCUGACCACACAACCAACAAAUUUUUAUUAAUUUUCUAAAUUAUUACGAACAACAACAACAACAAUACUAACAACAAAUAUCAACAACAACAUCAACAAAGCAACGACAAAGCGGAAAUGCAUAAAAAAAAUAAAUACAAAUUCAGUUUAUAAAAUUGCAAUUCGAGUGCAAAAGCAAAAAAGAAAAGUUUUGAAGCAGCCACGAAAAAUUUUGUGAAGCAGAAAACUGCUUUUCAUUUAUGAUUUAAGUUUAGUUUACGUUUGUGUUCGAAGCACACAUCAAAUCAAAUCAUAAAGUAAUAUAUAAAUAUCAAAAUUAAACCACACACAUACGUCCAAGGCCGGCAAACAAAUACAAUAACAAAUGCGUGUGUGUGUGCUGCGUAUGUGUGUGUAAGUGUGUGUGUGUACAUUUGACAAGUGAUUGAAGGUCCAAAUGUCACUGUGAAAAUGUCUGAACAAACUAAUCACGACAACAAAACCAACAACAAUCGACAGCAGAAUCGGCGCAUGCAACAAAAUGCACACUUUGAACAUUUAACCAACUAGACUACAAAAGCAUCAACAACAACAAAUAAUAACAUUCAUUUUGAUUAUGUUCGAAAAUGAAUAAAUAAACAAAAAAAAAAUGAACUGAUUCAGAAACUUUUGUAAAUGCAAAAAGCAACGCAAAAAUUCAAAUUGGCAAACAUCAUUUUGGGCUAAACACAAAAAAUUUAAAACAAAUACAAAAACUAUUUUGGCAAGCUGCGUGCAAAAAAGAAAAUAUAUAAUUAAUAAAAUAUAUAAAAUUUUCAAUUAAAUAAAACAUAAUUAUUUGGCAAACACAUUGAGGAAAUCGAAAUCGGCAACCUACACACAUAAAACCGUAAAGGAAAAUCAACGACUAACAAGCAAGGAAAACAACAACAAUUAAAUGUAACAUUUAAUUAAAAGCGAAAAACAACAACAACAAAUAGCAAAAAUCGUCUAAUUUAAAAAAAAAACAGACGAAAAACCGCAAAAAUUUAAGCCAACAACUAAAUUGGAAAACUCUUCAAAA